Molecule: ribosomal RNA, 250 nt
Filed under: uncultured bacterium
Lineage: Bacteria
Description: partial 16S ribosomal RNA
Rfam family: Bacterial small subunit ribosomal RNA
Source: RNAcentral
GCAAGUCGAACGAUGAAGCCGGAGCUUGCUCUGGUGGACUAGUGGCGAACGGGUGAGUAACACGUGAGUAACCUGCUCCUGACUCUGGGAUAACUGCGGGUAACUGUAGCUAAUACCGGAUACGACCCUUGGAGGCAUCUCCUGAGGGUGGAAAGAAUUUCGGUCAUGGAUGGACUCGCGGCCUAUCAGCUAGUUGGUGAGGUAAAGGCUCACCAAGGCGACGACGGGUAGCCGGCCUGAGAGGGUGACC